CCCUUAGAUGUUCUGGGCUGCACGCGCGCUACACUGAAGCGUUCAACGAGUAUUCACCUUGCCCGGGAGGGUUGGGUAAUCUUUUGAAAACGCUUCGUGAUGGGAAUAGAGUUUUGCAACUAUUAGUCUUGAACGAGGAAUUCCUCGUAAGCACGAGUCAUCAGCUUGUGCUGAUUACGUCCCUGCCCUUUGUACACACCGCCCGUCGCUCCUACCGAUUGGGUGCUCCGGUGAAUUGUUUGGACUGCUGUCAGUCUUUUUGGCUGUCGGCGAGAAGCUCUGUGAACCUUAGCACCUAGAGGAAGGAGAAGUCGUAACA
RNAcentral lists this ribosomal RNA (319 nucleotides) under uncultured eukaryote. RNAcentral's name for it is "partial 18S ribosomal RNA". It matches the Rfam family "Eukaryotic small subunit ribosomal RNA", at positions 1470 to 1796 of the family's 1831-position model. The record is from RNAcentral.